GAGUGCCUCGCACUCUUCCAUGCUGGAACGGAAAUCAUUCGAUUCAAGGACCGAGGAUUGUGGAACGCUGACAAAUAUACCGAGUUUUCAGUGAUACGAUUCACACCUGUGCGAAGUCAGAAUGAAGGCCUGCCCCGAUGCUUGGCAGCUCUGAAGCACACCCCACAACGACCUCCGCGCUGCGGGGUCGACUCCUGCUGUAGGUUCAUCCAGCAGAACGAGUUCCGGACUUCCGAUGAGAGCCAUUGCGAUGUUGAGGCGACGUUUAUUCCCUCCACUGUAGCUCCCGCUUGGUUUAUUCGCAAAUUUAUUAAGUCCUGCGGAUUGGAAAAUAAAAAAACAUCAUUCGAAUAUUCAUGCAAAUCCGUAAAU
Molecule: unclassified non-coding RNA, 372 nt
Filed under: Athalia rosae (coleseed sawfly)
Lineage: Eukaryota; Metazoa; Arthropoda; Insecta; Hymenoptera; Athaliidae
Description: misc RNA ENSAEAG00005000698.1
Source: RNAcentral